This is a long non-coding RNA of Drosophila montana, 390 nucleotides long. RefSeq lists it as uncharacterized. The transcript has 2 exons. The record is from RefSeq and is a predicted model, not a curated record. NCBI's taxonomy places the organism in Eukaryota, Metazoa, Arthropoda, Insecta, Diptera, Drosophilidae.
UUUCAUUUUCAUAUUAUGCGACUUUGAUUAUGCUUUAAUCGAACUUUUUCAGUCUCUGCCUUGAUUGUGCAAUUAUGUAGAUGUUCGAGUUGGGGGCUUGCUGGCAUUUUGCAAGCUGUUUAACGCUCUUACAACCCUUUACCUGUGCGCGUGUGUGUGCGGGUGUGUGUGUGUGUUUGGGCCAGCUCGAAUUGCUGUGCUGUGCCUCCAGGGGGGGCCAGGCUCGGGUUGCUAAUGAGCCGACAGCGUUAGCUAAUUGAGCAUGUCCGAAGCUACAAACGAAAUUAAUGUGAAAAUUGAUGCCCCGAUGCGACGACCCUCAAAACUUUUGCAUUUGAAAAAGACAGAGAUAGUGGCAGAGAGAGAGAGAGAGAGAGAGAGUGAGAGAGC